Long non-coding RNA from Cyanistes caeruleus (blue tit), 170 nucleotides. RefSeq lists it as uncharacterized. The record is from RefSeq and is a predicted model, not a curated record. NCBI's taxonomy places the organism in Eukaryota, Metazoa, Chordata, Aves, Passeriformes, Paridae.
GAAAAGGCAAAGAGAAGAAGAAGAAAAAUGUUGGCACAGGAGAGACAUGCAGAAUUUAGGAGUCAUAUAAUCACUCUAUGUAUGCAGAGGAGUAGCUCAUACAUGCCCAGAUCUCAUCCUAAUACUUCAGAUCAAGCCUGGGAACUUAAAUGUGUGUCAUCUGGAAGUUA